Molecule: transfer RNA, 19 nt
Filed under: Yucca brevifolia
Lineage: Eukaryota; Viridiplantae; Streptophyta; Magnoliopsida; Asparagales; Asparagaceae
Description: partial tRNA-Leu
Source: RNAcentral
GGAUAUGGCGAAAUUGGUA